UACGUAGGGGGCAAGCGUUGUCUGGAUUUAUUGGGCGUAAAGAGCGUGUAGGCGGCCAGGUAGGUCAGCUGUGAAAACUCGAGGCUCAACCUCGAGACGUCGGUUGAAACCACCUGGCUAGAGUCCGGAAGAGGAGAGUGGAAUUCCUGGUGUAGCGGUGAAACGCGCAGAUAUCAGGAAGAACACCCGUGGCGAAGGCGGCUCUCUGGGUCGGUACUGACGCUGAGACGCGAAAGCGUGGGGAGCGAACAGG
This 253-nucleotide ribosomal RNA is filed under the name uncultured bacterium. RNAcentral describes it as "partial 16S ribosomal RNA". It matches the Rfam family "Bacterial small subunit ribosomal RNA", at positions 524 to 776 of the family's 1533-position model. The record is from RNAcentral.